CCUACGGGUGGCAGCAGUAGGGAAUAUUGCUCAAUGGGGGAACCCCUGAAGCAGCAACGCCGCGUGGAGGAUGAAGGUUUUCGGAUUGUAAACUCCUUUUGUCAGAGAGGAUAAUGACGGUAUCUAACGAAUAAGCACCGGCUAACUCCGUGCCAGCAGCCACGGUAAUACGGAGGGUGCAAGCGGUACUCGGAAUCACUGGGCGCAAAGAGCGCGUAGGCGGGAUAGCCAGUCAGAUGUGAAAUCCUAUGGCUUAACCAUAGAACUGCAUUUGAAACUGUUAUUCUAGAGGACGGGAGAGGUAGGUGAAAUUGUUGGUGGAGGGGGAAAAUCCGUAGAGAUCAAGAGGAAUA
This 353-nucleotide ribosomal RNA is filed under the name uncultured bacterium. RNAcentral's name for it is "partial 16S ribosomal RNA". It matches the Rfam family "Bacterial small subunit ribosomal RNA", at positions 338 to 708 of the family's 1533-position model. The record is from RNAcentral.